UUACCCACUGAAAAUGGAAAAAAAAAAUAAAAUGGACAACUGUUAAUGAUUGCUACUUCCUCAAAUCCUGUGACAGUCUAAUACCAAGCACUCUUAUCUUUAAAAUGAAUUUCUUCUCAGAUAAGCCAAACGGUACAGUUCCAUCAUGUACACAAACACGCACACAGCUUUGAAUGAAAAUGGUCUUAUAAAAAGGUGAUAGCUUACCGAUCGUGAGACUGAAAAAAAGUACAAAUAGGAUCAACAUUUUUGUGAGCCUUUUGUCAAAGAGCAGCGAGUAAAACACGUGUUAGUGAGCACGGACACUAAAAAUGAGGUCAUGUGCAACGGAGACUAACAAGAUGCCUUCUUUUGACUCGACAGUCUUCAUCGGGCCUUUCCCCCUAGAAUGACUAGUAAUAAAGUCUUCAUAAUACCGAAGUAAAGCUCUGCUGUGGAGAGCAGCUAAUAUCUGCAUUAUCAGUGCCCUGUGACUACAUAAAGCCUACGUGCUUUGGUUGCCAUUGAAGAGGAAGUGAGAGUUGGGUAACGUGUCAGAGUAUUAAAGCAGAAUAUUAAACUAAGUGUACUCUAGGGAGACUCAAUAAUCUGAGCCUUUCCGACAUCGAGAGCUAGAAAAUAAAACAGAAGAGUGAGCAUAUAUUUUCUGUUCACCUCUGCACGACAAGCUUCCACUCUCUGUCAGACAAAGACGUUCAGAUGACUUCCUUAAUAUUGAGAACCACCUGCCAUUAGAUGCAGAUAUGAAAUCAGUUUAAUAUGAUAGAAAAGGAAGAACAUGACUCACGUGUGUUUACAGAUCCAACGAGGAUACCUGACAGUUUUUCCAUUGCCCGCCUAACAUAGAAACAGUGUGUGUGAAAACCAACAGGGGCCGAAAGGUCUGCUGUUCUGGUUCUUGGUGCCAGUUUCAUCAGAAACAAAUGGAACCAGAGGGGCACCGCUGGUCCUUCAGUGCCAUCACAACCUCAGCAAAAAGUUCAUUCCUGAGCAAACCUCCAUAUACUGGCAAAGUAAUUCCAUCGUUCUUCAUGUUUUUUCAAAAGGACAAGAGGAAUUUCAACACCAAAGUGAGUCAUUUAAAAACAGGACUGCAAUUUUCCGUGAUCAACUGGCUUCUGGCAACUUCUCCCUUGUCAUCAAUCCGCUGAUGCUGAAAGACGAUCAGCUCAGCAUCGAAGUUGCUUACAUACCAGAAAGCAGGACGCUCUGCCAAACCACUGUUCAUGUAGCAGCUCGUUUUGAGAUGCCAAAUAUUGUGGUCAACACCAUAGAUAUGAUGGCUAUGUGUGCAACAAAGGGGGGCUUUCCUGAACCAGCGCUAUCAUGGAUCUCCGUGGACCACGAGGGACAUGAACGUACACUUGAACCACCUGAUGUCCAGACCCUUGAGAUCUACAAGGAAGAUGAUGGCACCUACAGAGUUACCAGUACUGCCAACAUCAGAGGAUCACAGAAAGUUACAUGCAGCGUUUACAACCCAACUUCAAAGGAGACAUUGAGUGUAAUUAAAGACGUAAUUACAGAUGAAGGCUGGAGUCUGCCUUUGGGAGCUGUUCUUGGAGUACCGGUAAUACUUGCAGUAAUACUCGGAGCAGGAGCCGCCAUUGGCUGCCGAAAAAUGAAAAGGAGAGACUGUUCAGGACAAAGCCUACAACAACUGAGCGCCAAUGAACCUGCACCAUUGGAAGACAGCACUCCUGAUCCUGCAGCUGUUGUAGUUGAUGAUGUAGCUAAAUAAAGGGAAAACACUAAAUAGAAGACAUAGCAGGAACUCAUGUUUCUGAAAUAAAGACCUCAUCUAUGGAGGACCACAGAGCCACACACACCGAAAAAUAGUGUUUUUAUUUUAAAUUCGAUUAUUAAAUAAUAAAUAACUUUAUUAACGUUUGAAUAAGUAAAAUAAUAAAUAAAUGAAUCUGUAAAUGAAUUUACAAAUGCAUAAUUUAUUGUACAAUUCAUUAUUUAAGCAAAAAAAGUCUUUACUUGAUGCACGUGGCUCUUGUGGUGCUCCAUAUGUUAGCAUGUUACCUUCAACAGGUGGUUAUAGGCUGAGUCUACAGGCGCACACUCGGCGGAUCAACUCUACAUUUCACUGCAGGGCCCCUUCAUUUUUCACAAUCGGUGUCGGGCAGAAUGUAAAUACAUAGGCUGAAAUCUAAAUUUUACAUUUGAUGUUUACAUCUAAAUUAUUUAGCUGUAACAAAACAGGAAUAAAAUGUAGGACACGGAAACUAAAGUUCAAAAUCUGAAGAAAUAGAUCACACGCAGUUUACUGAUGGAUCGAGAUAUUAGUUACCCAGAUAGCAUCAGACCCCAAGGUGGAUCUGCCCUGAAUACAGUGUAUUAAAUAAAAACUGUUUUUGUAGCAGUUUAUGAGCAUUACGUUGUUUUAAUGAGUAUUUAGUAAAAUUUAAAUGUCCCAAUUAAAUGUUACAAACCUUUUUUCUUUAAAGAGAGGGUUUUGUUAUUUCUACUGUUAGUGGAUACAUAUCCUUAGAUUUGCUUUAAUGUCUCCCAGUUUAAUCAUUUCUAAUAUGAGCCAAUCCCACUUUUACUCACAGAUGAUGGAUCUCUUACAGCCACAACAGAGACGUUUCAGAGCAAUUUCACGUAUAACUCAAAGAAUGCAGGGCAGCUUUCCAAGUCUUUAAAGAAUGUAAAGCUUUAUCAGUAAAGGCAAAUGUCUUGUUUUUAUAGAUUUUAAAUAUUUCAGUAUAGUUUUGGGAGGAUGUACACAGAUGAUGAUUCAAAAUAUUGUGACGUUAUAAACCGAUCUGGGUAGGAUGAGCUGGAAAAUUAGGAGAGGAAAUAAAAUAUUCAGUUAGUUGAACUGGUUGAAAUUCAGUUUCUACUGUUAGAGUAUUUCCUGCAAGAAACGUAAUAACAAGCGAUCAAAGCUGUCAUCAUGAUAUCAAGGGCCAGAUUAGGCCGAGAUGUCAGUGUUACGAUGCAUUUGCAAAAUUGCACCCAUGCAAGUGGAAAAUUCUUUUGUUGAUCUAUUAACGGUGCACUGAUUUCCAUGCAAAGAUGCAGUCAGUACAUCUUAAUGAUUACCUGACUUGAGUGGAUUAGCGGCUCAGAAAUAAGCACACAGUGAGAGACUGUGAAGGAGCGCGUGACAGCUCUGCAACAUCACAGAUCACUUUUGCGCGGUUUCUUUUUCUUUUUUUUUCGCAGAUCGGUUGUAUGCAAGUCUUUCAAAGAGGCUGCUAUUAGUGGGACUCAGAAAGAUCAAGUGCAUUAGAUUGACAGUCUUACCCCAUAUGGAUUUCAUUCAUUCAGAGAGCAGAUGAAGGAGCGAGAUGGCAUCAAAGUUAAAGAGAGGCGGAAAUUACACCUCAAACAUGCACGCGCGUGUGUGCGUGACGGAUGCGCUAAUUAAACACAUAGCAAUACACUUCUGGUUCUGUGCAAGCAGACUCCAAUCCAGACACAGUUUAUAGUAGAGCCUAUGAUAUAUGCCUUUUGGUGGAUCAGGUUGUAGGUCAACCCACUGAGACUGAUUUGAGUAUGUCAGCAACGAUAUGUCAGCAAUCAGGCUUAAUGUGCAGUGUAAUCAGAUUGCAAUCAGAGUACCUGUAGCUGCUUUAAAAACAUAAUUUAAAAAUAUAUUUAGUUGAGUUUUAAAAGCUUAAAGUCAUUUUAGUCUCAUCUUCACUCAUACUAUAUAUUCACAUUAAGAAACAGAAGCAGCAUUAAGCCACAGCUGCACAAACCACCCAAAAGAAGAAAAAAACACAGCUUAAUGUUAAAUAAAAGAGAUCAAACAUCCAGCUAUGAGUGAAUAAACACUGAUGAGGAGUCCGGUACCACCUGUAGCAAAGCCUCCACCACCAUCAGCACAAUCAGGUUUAGAGUACACUGCAGACGGGCCUUGAUCGAUACUGGGAUGCUCAGUUUUGGUUUCAUUAUUCUAAAAAUGCAACACUUUGAAUCUUUAGAUAUCAUUAAAUUCUGGUACCGGUGUAUGUUUUUCUGUAGUUUUGGGGCCUGAUUCGAUUAUUUUACCAUUCUAGUGUUAAACGUUUUUGAAUUUUUUCUGCAAGAGUUAUUAAUUGAGGCAAAAAUGGGAGCAAAAUCCACAAAUUACUGCUUACAGGUGUGGUUAGUUCGGUCGUUGGUUUUCUAAACACAGAUGCAGUCAAUUCAAUAUGACAUACUCAGUCUGCCAAAGGCAAUGCAAUUUCAAGCACGGUCAAAAAAUAAGACAUGGUAAUUUAAGAUAAUUUUCUAGCAGGACAGGUGCAGCAUUGUAAUUGUAAACAGAAAAUGAAGUAAAUUAAUAUGGAACGUGUACGUUAAAUAUAGGCCUACAGUGGCAGUCUAGCAGAGAAUCGUUAUAAUGGAGACAAACUUCAGUAACUGACAGAGUCCAAUGUAGGACUGUAAGAAGUAACAAUUGGACAUCAUGUUUUGAUGAUGGGAAAUGUGUGAUUGAAAAAAAAUGGGUUUGCUGAUUUCGUGGGGGAAUGUUUGGCGUGUGGUGGAUCAGAAAUUUGAUUCCUUUUAGGGUUGUACAUUUUUAUUCCCUAUAUUUUUUGAUUGACUUAAUUGUUGUUUUGAAUGUGUUGCUGUAUGGAAUAUGCAGUAGGAAUGAAAAGGGAGUGGUGAGAAUUGUGCCUGGGUUGACUGUGUGUAGAUCCAUUGGUACUGCCUUUGGUUGGGACUACAGUACACAGAAAUGUAGUCAUUCAUCUCCCCUCACUAUUUCCCCUGUUUAAGGUAACUGCCAUGCACAAAACUCUACAAACUUUUUUACUCCAUCAUCAUUGUUCAUUGUAAGGGAAGAGGUGAAUGGUGGACUGUUUCAGCUGUGUAAGCUAGCUUUUAAUACUGUCCCACCAUGUUGAAUGAUGUUUUUUCUGCCACUGUCUGCAUAUUUAAGUUAACUACUGAAAGACAUACAGAACUAAAGUAUUAUUUAAUUACUGUGGAAAGGCAGUGUCAGCUAAAAUAUGUGAGUUAAUUAGAUGUAUUUACCUUAUGUCACAGUUCAUGUUGUGCACUGCCUGAAGUCUUCUCAUCAGCUAAUACAGAAAAUAACAGUAACUUUGUUUGGAAACUGUGGUUCUGAGACAGAGUUUAUCAUUGCAGAGAGAAUACGGGUUUGGUUGUGUCUUUUGUAACUGACACUCUAUACAGAAGUCGAGAGCUGCAUGUAUCUUCAUUCAUCUCCAGUUUGAGGGCACAACAUAUGCACGCAUGCGUAUUUUUGAUCUAUAUCUCACACACUGUCAGAGCUGUGAACUCCAUUACAUGGACUGAGCAAUUCCUGCAACUGAAGCCACGGUAUGUUGAAGACAUUUUGUUGAUUCAUUUUGAGUUUUGUUGAUUUUUAGUAAAUACUGACAUUACUUUUUUGUGUUUUUUUUAGUUUCACAAAGUUUGCAAUGCGUUAGUACAUCUAGCCCAUACUGUCACUUAUUCUUGCUCUGAUUUAAACCUCUCUCUGAGUAAGCAGAGGGCUGCAGUGCCUUGUGGUGACUAUUGUUGUGAUUUGGCAAUGAAUAAAUAAAUUGAAAUUGAAA
Molecule: RNA transcript, 5531 nt
Organism: Haplochromis burtoni (Burton's mouthbrooder)
Lineage: Eukaryota; Metazoa; Chordata; Actinopteri; Cichliformes; Cichlidae
Exons: 5
Source: RefSeq, a predicted model, not a curated record